CGAUCAGGGACCGCUCUUCCACAUGCUUCCACUCCGAGUCGGCACAGCCGACCACAACAGUCUUGUUUCGGCCAGGCCGGUGAGGGCUCUUUCUGUGAAGUGGUCCAAGCAGAGGCGGUAGCCGUGGUAUACAUCUGCUCCCAUGUCAUCCUCGCCAGGACUCCCCAUUUAGCUACUUUCUGGAAGACACGCAGGCACAAGCAAUUACUCAGCAACCCGACGACGGCUCUCGACGCCAUGACGCCGCACGUCAUCGACGAAGAGAAACUCGACGUCGCCGCCUAUCUCCAGUGCCGAAGAAGCCCGACAGCUCACCCGCCUGCGCAUCAAAAACCAGCAGAGGACCGACAGCCGGCAGUACAAUCUUCGACGACGCUAUGUACGUGGAAUGCCAGCCCGGCGACCAUGUUUGGGUCUGGGCUCCGAUACGCCGACGAGGACUUAGCGAGGAACUGUUACGACGCUAUUUCGGACCCUACGAGAUCAUCCGACGUAUUGGAGUAAUGGACUGUGAGGUCGUGCCAGGCGGCAUUUCGCAAUAAAGAGUCGGUUUCGUCAUUCA
Long non-coding RNA from Dermacentor andersoni, 562 nucleotides. RefSeq lists it as uncharacterized. The record is from RefSeq and is a predicted model, not a curated record. NCBI's taxonomy places the organism in Eukaryota, Metazoa, Arthropoda, Arachnida, Ixodida, Ixodidae.